Molecule: non-coding RNA, 45 nt
Filed under: Schistosoma margrebowiei
Lineage: Eukaryota; Metazoa; Platyhelminthes; Trematoda; Strigeidida; Schistosomatidae
Source: RNAcentral
AUCCAGCUGACGAGUCCCAAGCAGGACGAAACGCACGUCUUAGAU